This 402-nucleotide long non-coding RNA is filed under the name Vigna radiata. RNAcentral describes it as "long non-coding RNA (VRAD_LNC014236)". The record is from RNAcentral. Lineage: Eukaryota; Viridiplantae; Streptophyta; Magnoliopsida; Fabales; Fabaceae.
GAAGUGGGGGGGUUUGUUGAAAAGGUUUGUGAAUGCAGAAAAAUUAAAUUAAAACACAGAUGCAAACAGAAUGUAAAAAUGGAAUGUAAAAAGAAAUGUAAAAACUGAAUCAAAUACAGAAUAAAAAUGGUUGGUGAUUAACUCAAUUAUUAUGCUUCUAAUCAUAGAUUAACAACAAGUACACACUACUCUAAUCCAAAUCCAACAUGAAUCACCCAACAAAGCGAAGGCUAAUUCGGUCUUCAGAGUUGCAAUGCACAAAUCUAAUUAGUCAUGCACCAUAUAGUCUAAUCAACUAAGCGAAGAUUAAACACUGAUUAGGCAACUAAGUUUAUACCUAAUUGCAACCACACAACAGAUUAAACAUUGAGCUAAAACAAAGGAGCAACAUGGCAAUUAAAA